This 1261-nucleotide long non-coding RNA is filed under the name Volvox carteri. Its description in RNAcentral is "long non-coding RNA (VCAR_LNC003853)". The record is from RNAcentral. Lineage: Eukaryota; Viridiplantae; Chlorophyta; Chlorophyceae; Chlamydomonadales; Volvocaceae.
GACGAAGGUGGGGCUGGGAGGUGCAGUAGCCUAAACGGCAGGUGCGGCGGCGGCAGGAAAUAGCAACGCAGCAGCAGCGGCAGCGACGGCGAAGGGGCUGGGAGGUGCAGUAGCCUAAAUGGCAGGCGCGGCGGCGGCGGGAAAUAGCAACAGCAGCAGGCGCGGCGGCGGCGGGAAUUAGCAACGGAGUAGCAGCGGCAGCGAUGAAGGUGGGGCUGGGAGGUGCAGUAGCCUAAACGGCAGGUGCGGCGGCGGCGGGAAAUAGCAACGCAGCAGCAGCGGCAGCGACGGCGUGGGGCUGGGAGGUGCAGUAGCCUAAACGGCAGGCACGGCAGCGGCGGGAAAUAGCAACAGCAGCAGGCGCGGCGGCGGCGGGAAUUAGCAACGGAGUAGCAGCGGCAGCGACGGCGGUGGGGCUGGGAGGGCCAUUAGUCUCAACAGCAGGCACGGCGGCGGGGGGAAAUAGCAACAGCAGCAGGCGUGGCGGCGGCAGGAAUUAGCAACGGAGUAGCAGCGGCAGUGAUGAAGGUGGGGCUGGGAGGUGCAGUAGCCUAAACGGCAGGCGUGACGGCGGCGGGAAAUAGCAACGCAGCAGCAGCGGCAGUGAUGGCAGUGGGGCUGGGAGGUGCAGUAGCCUAAACGGCAGGCACGGCGGCGGCGGGAAAUAGCAACAGCAGCAGGCGCGGUGGCAGCGGGAAUUAGCAACGGAGUAGCAGCGGCAGCGACGAAGGUGGGGCUGGGAGGUACAGUAGCCUAAACGGCAGGUGCGGCGGCGGCGGGAAAUAGCAACGCAGCAGCAGCGGCAGUGACGGCAGUGGGGCUGGGAGGUGCAGUAGCCUAAACGGCAGGCACGGCGGCGGCGGGAAAUAGCAACAGCAGCAGGCGUGGUGGCGGCGGGAAUUAGCAACGGAGUAGCAGUGGCAGCGACGAAGGUGGGGCUGGGAGGUGCAAUAGCCUAAACGACAGGUGCGGCGGCGGCGGGAAAUAGCAACGCAGCAGCAGCGGCAGCGACGGUGAAGGGGCUGGGAGGUGCAGUAGCCUAAACGGCAGGCGCGGCAGCGGCGGGAAAUAGCAACAGCAGCAGGCGCGGCGGCGGCGGGAAUUAGCAACGGAGUAGCAGCGGCAGCGACGAAGGUGGGGCUGGGAGGUGCAAUUGUCUGAACAACAGGCGCGGUGGCGGCGGGAAAUAGCAACAGCAGCAGGCGCGGCGGCGGUGGGAAUUAGCAACGGAGUAGCAGCGGCAGCAACGGCGGUGGGGCUG